UACAGAGACUGCAAGCGUUAUUCGGAUUCACUGGGCUUAAAGCGUGCGUAGGCGGUCUUGUUAGUCAGGUGUGAAAGCCCUCAGCUCAACUGAGGAAUUGCGCUUGAUACUGCAUGACUAGAGAAUGAUAGAGGUGGGUGGAACUGAUGGUGGAGCGGUGAAAUGCGUUGAUAUCAUCAGGAACACCAGUGGCGAAGGCGACCCACUGGGUCAUUUCUGACGCUGAGGUACGAAAGCUAGGGUAGCGAACGGG
Molecule: ribosomal RNA, 253 nt
Filed under: uncultured bacterium
Lineage: Bacteria
Description: partial 16S ribosomal RNA
Rfam family: Bacterial small subunit ribosomal RNA
Source: RNAcentral